CUUAAUGAGAGUUUGAUCCUGGCUCAGGACGAACGCUGGCGGCGUGCCUAAUACAUGCAAGUAGAACGCUGAGGACUGGUGCUUGCACCGGUCCAAGGAGUUGCGAACGGGUGAGUAACGCGUAGGUAACCUACCUCAUAGCGGGGGAUAACUAUUGGAAACGAUAGCUAAUACCGCAUAAAAGUGUUUAACCCAUGUUAAACAUUUAAAAGGUGCAACUGCAUCACUAUGAGAUGGACCUGCGUUGUAUUAGCUAGUUGGUGAGGUAACGGCUCACCAAGGCGACGAUACAUAGCCGACCUGAGAGGGUGAUCGGCCACACUGGGACUGAGACACGGCCCAGACUCCUACGGGAGGCAGCAGUAGGGAAUCUUCGGCAAUGGACGGAAGUCUGACCGAGCAACGCCGCGUGAGUGAAGAAGGUUUUCGGAUCGUAAAGCUCUGUUGUUAGAGAAGAAUGAUGGUGGGAGUGGAAAAUCCACCAUGUGACGGUAACUAACCAGAAAGGGACGGCUAACUACGUGCCAGCAGCCGCGGUAAUACGUAGGUCCCGAGCGUUGUCCGGGAUUUAUUGGGCGUAAAGCGAGCGCAGGCGGUUCUUUAAGUCUGAAGUUAAAGGCAGUGGCUCAACCAUUGUACGCUUUGGAAACUGGAGAACUUGAGUGCAGAAGGGGAGAGUGGAAUUCCAUGUGUAGCGGUGAAAUGCGUAGAUAUAUGGAGGAACACCGGUGGCGAAAGCGGCUCUCUGGUCUGUAACUGACGCUGAGGCUCGAAAGCGGUGGGGAGCAAACAGGAUUAGAUACCCUGGUAGUCCACGCCGUAAACGAUGAGUGCUAGGUGUUAGGCCCUUUCCGGGGCUUAGUGCCGGAGCUAACGCAUUAAGCACUCCGCCUGGGGAGUACGACCGCAAGGUUGAAACUCAAAGGAAUUGACGGGGGGCCCGCACAAGCGGGUGGAGCAUGUGGUUUAAUUCGAAGCAACGCGAAGAACCUUACCAGGUCUUGACAUCCUCCUGACCGGUCUAGAGAUAGGCUUUCCCUUCGGGGCAGGAGUGACAGGUGGUGCAUGGUUGUCGUCAGCUCGUGUCGUGAGAUGUUGGGUUAAGUCCCGCAACGAGCGCAACCCCUAUUGUUAGUUGCCAUCAUUAAGUUGGGCACUCUAGCGAGACUGCCGGUAAUAAACCGGAGGAAGGUGGGGAUGACGUCAAAUCAUCAUGCCCCUUAUGACCUGGGCUACACACGUGCUACAAUGGUUGGUACAACGAGUCGCAAGCCGGUGACGGCAAGCUAAUCUCUUAAAGCCAAUCUCAGUUCGGAUUGUAGGCUGCAACUCGCCUACAUGAAGUCGGAAUCGCUAGUAAUCGCGGAUCAGCACGCCGCGGUGAAUACGUUCCCGGGCCUUGUACACACCGCCCGUCACACCACGAGAGUUUGUAACACCCGAAGUCGGUGAGGUAACCUAUUAGGAGCCAGCCGCCUAAGGUGGGAUAGAUGAUUGGGGUGAAGUCGUAACAAGGUAGCCGUAUCGGAAGGUGCGGCUGGAUCACCUCCUUU
RNAcentral lists this ribosomal RNA (1553 nucleotides) under Streptococcus dysgalactiae subsp. equisimilis AC-2713. Its description in RNAcentral is "16S ribosomal RNA". It matches the Rfam family "Bacterial small subunit ribosomal RNA". Lineage: Bacteria; Bacillati; Bacillota; Bacilli; Lactobacillales; Streptococcaceae. The record is from RNAcentral.